GAUGAACGCUGGCGGCGUGCCUAAUACAUGCAAGUCGAGCGAACGGACGAGAAGCUUGCUUUUCUGAUGUUAGCGGCGGACGGGUGAGUAACACGUGGAUAACCUACCUAUAAGACUGGGAUAACUUCGGGAAACCGGAGCUAAUACCGGAUAAUAUUUUGAACCGCAUGGUUCAAAAGUGAAAGACGGUCUUGCUGUCUCGUAUAGAUGGAUCCGCGCUGCAUUAGCUAGUUGGUAAGGUAACGGCUUACCAAGGCAACGAUGCAUAGACGACCUGAGUGGGUGGUAGCCCACCCGGGAACGGAGACACGGUCCAGACUACUACGGGAGGGAGCAGUCGGGAAUCUUACGCAAUGGGCGAGAGCCUUACGCAGCAGCGGGGCGUGAGAGAUGAAGGUCUUCGGAUCGUAAAGCUCUGUUAUGAGGGAAGAACAUAUGUGUAAGUAACUGUGCACAUCUUGACGGUACCUAAUAAGAAAGCCACGGCUAACUACGUG
This 497-nucleotide ribosomal RNA is filed under the name uncultured bacterium. RNAcentral's name for it is "partial 16S ribosomal RNA". It matches the Rfam family "Bacterial small subunit ribosomal RNA", at positions 28 to 507 of the family's 1533-position model. The record is from RNAcentral.